Molecule: ribosomal RNA, 576 nt
Filed under: uncultured bacterium
Lineage: Bacteria
Description: bacterial SSU rRNA
Rfam family: Bacterial small subunit ribosomal RNA
Source: RNAcentral
GACGAUGCAUAGCCGAGUUGAGAGACUGAUCGGCCACAUUGGGACUGAGACACGGCCCAAACUCCUACGGGAGGCAGCAGUAGGGAAUCUUCCACAAUGGGCGAAAGCCUGAUGGAGCAACGCCGCGUGAGUGAAGAAGGUUUUCGGAUCGUAAAGCUCUGUUGUUGGUGAAGAAGGAUAGAGGUAGUAACUGGCCCCUAUUUGACGGUAAUCAACCAGAAAGUCACGGCUAACUACGUGCCAGCAGCCGCGGUAAUACGUAGGUGGCAAGCGUUGUCCGGAUUUAUUGGGCGUAAAGCGAGCGCAGGCGGAAAGAUAAGUCUGAUGUGAAAGCCCCCGGCUUAACCGAGGAAUUGCAUCGGAAACUGUGUUUCUUGAGUGCAGAAGAGGAGAGUGGAACUCCAUGUGUAGCGGUGGAAUGCGUAGAUAUAUGGAAGAACACCAGUGGCGAAGGCGGCUCUCUGGUCUGUAACUGACGCUGAGGCUCGAAAGCAUGGGUAGCGAACAGGAUUAGAUACCCUGGUAGUCCAUGCCGUAAACGAUGAGUGCUAAGUGUUGGGAGGUUUCCGCCUCUCA